RNAcentral lists this ribosomal RNA (497 nucleotides) under uncultured bacterium. RNAcentral describes it as "partial 16S ribosomal RNA". It matches the Rfam family "Bacterial small subunit ribosomal RNA", at positions 28 to 507 of the family's 1533-position model. The record is from RNAcentral.
GAUGAACGCUGGCGGCGUGCCUAAUACAUGCAAGUCGAGCGAACGGACGAGAAGCUUGCUUCUCUGAUGUUAGCGGCGGACGGGUGAGUAACACGUGGAUAACCUACCUAUAAGACUGGGAUAACUUCGGGAAACCGGAUCUAAUACCGGAUGAUAUUUUGAACCGCAUGGUUCAAAAGUGAAAGACGGUCUUGCUGUCACUUAUAGAUGGAUCCGCGCUGCAUUAGCUAGUUGGUAAGGUAACGGCUUACCAAGGCAACGAUGCAUAGCCGACCUGAGAGGGUGAUCAGCCACACUGGAACUGAGACACGGUCCAGACUCCUACGGGAGGCAGCAGUAGGGAAUAUUCCACAAUGGGCGAAAGCCUGACGGAGCAACGCCGCGUGAGUGAUGAAGGUCUUCGGAUCGUAAAACUCUGUUAUUAGGGAAGAACAUAUGUGUAAGUAACUGUGCACGUCUUGACGGUACCUAAUCAGAAAGCCACGGCUAACUACGUG